CCCUUAGAUGUUCUGGGCCGCACGCGCGCUAUACUGACGAAGUCAGCGAGCAUGUCCUACGCCGACAGGUGCGGGGAAUCUUGUCAAACUUCGUCGUGAUGGGGAUUGAUUAUUGAAAUUCUUGAUCAUCAACGAGGAAUUCCUAGUAAGCGCAAGUCAGCAGCUUGCGUUGAUUACGUCCCUGCCCUUUGUACACACCGCCCGUCGCUACUACCGAUUGAAUGGUUUAGUGAGAUCUUCGGAUUGGCGCCACUGCGGCUCAGCAAUGGGCUCGGUGGAUGCCGAAAAGUUGAUCAAACUUGAUCAUUUAGAGGAAGUAAAAGUCGUAACA
Molecule: ribosomal RNA, 331 nt
Filed under: uncultured eukaryote
Lineage: Eukaryota
Description: partial 18S ribosomal RNA
Rfam family: Eukaryotic small subunit ribosomal RNA
Source: RNAcentral